AGAGUUUGAUCCUGGCUCAGGAUGAACGCUAGCGAUAGGCCUAACACAUGCAAGUCGAGGGGCAUCAUGGGGUAGCAAUACUCUGAUGGCGACCGGCGGAUGGGUGAGUAACACGUAUGCAACCUACCUACGACAUUGGGAUAACCCGUUGAAAGACGGACUAAUACCUUAUAAUACAUUGGCACCGCAUGGUGGUAUUUGUUAAAGAUUUUAUCGGUUGUAGAUGGGCAUGCGCAUGAUUAGCUAGUUGGGGAGGUAACGGCUUCCCAAGGCUACGAUCAUUAGGGGUUCUGAGAGGAAGGUCCCCCACACUGGAACUGAGACACGGUCCAGACUCCUACGGGAGGCAGCAGUGAGGAAUAUUGGUCAAUGGGCGAUAGCCUGAACCAGCCACGUCGCGUGCAGGAAGACUGUCUUAUGGAUUGUAAACUGCUUUUUCGGUAGAGUAAAGUGCGUCACGUGUGACGUAUUGCAAGUAUACCGUGAAUAAGGAUCGGCUAACUCCGUGCCAGCAGCCGCGGUAAUACGGAGGAUCCGAGCGUUAUCCGGAUUUAUUGGGUUUAAAGGGUACGUAGGCGGGGCGUAUAAGUCAGCGGUGAAAUUUUGCAGCUUAACUGCAAGCUUGCCGUUGAAACUAUCGUUCUUGAGUGUAGAUGAGGUAGGCGGAAUGUGUUGUGUAGCGGUGAAAUGCAUAGAUAUAACACAGAACCCCGAUUGCGAAGGCAGCUUACCGGGUUAUCACUGACGCUGAGGUACGACAGCGUGGGGAUCAAACAGGAUUAGAUACCCUGGUAGUCCACGCCGUAAACGAUGAAUACUCGCUGUUUGCGAUAUACUGCAAGCGGCCAAGCGAAAGCAUUAAGUAUUCCACCUGGGGAGUACGUUCGCAAGAAUGAAACUCAAAGGAAUUGACGGGGGCCCGCACAAGCGGAGGAACAUGUGGUUUAAUUCGAUGAUACGCGAGGAACCUUACCCGGGUUUGAAAUGCAAUCGACCGAUUAUGAAAGUAGUUUUCCAGCAAUGGCGAUUGUGUAGGUGCUGCAUGGUUGUCGUCAGCUCGUGCCGUGAGGUGUCGGCUUAAGUGCCAUAACGAGCGCAACCCUUGCCGUUAGUUGCUAGCAGGUUAAGCUGAGGACUCUAGCGGGACUGCCAUCGUAAGGUGCGAGGAAGGUGGGGAUGACGUCAAAUCAGCACGGCCCUUAUGUCCGGGGCGACACACGUGUUACAAUGGGGGGUACAGCGGGCAGCUACCGGGCGACCGGAUGCUAAUCUCUUAAAUCCUCUCUCAGUUCGGAUCGGAGUCUGCAACUCGACUCUGUGAAGCAGGAUUCGCUAGUAAUCGCGCAUCAGCCACGGCGCGGUGAAUACGUUCCCGGGCCUUGUACACACCGCCCGUCAAGCCAUGGAAGCCGGGGGUACCUGAAGUACGUUACCGUUUAGGAUCGUCCUAGGGUAAGACUGGUAACUGGGGCUAAGUCGUAACAAGGUAGCCGUACCGGAAGGUGCGGCUG
This 1511-nucleotide ribosomal RNA is filed under the name metagenome. RNAcentral describes it as "bacterial SSU rRNA". It matches the Rfam family "Bacterial small subunit ribosomal RNA". The record is from RNAcentral.